Molecule: long non-coding RNA, 8834 nt
Filed under: Xyrichtys novacula (pearly razorfish)
Lineage: Eukaryota; Metazoa; Chordata; Actinopteri; Labriformes; Labridae
Source: RNAcentral
GGACGGACAUCCUGUUCUUGGUGAUGUCACCAAUGUGCCGUAUUUUCUCUUGAUGAUGAUGGUCUUCACUUCAAUGGUAUCUGACUGAUAUCUUUGAAUAAUGAGAUCCCUCUGAUGCUUUGGAAGUUCUCUGCAGACCAUGGCUUGUGCUGGAAGAUGUGGCUACUAAAAUGUCAGGAAAAACUACUAGAACAGCUGAACUUUAUUUGGAGUUGAUCAGAGGCUCUUUAAUUGGUGACAGGUGUGUGCUGACUCCAAUUAACCCUGGGUUUUUAUGUUAUUGGCUAAAUCUGAACACAGCCACAUCCCCACUUAUUAAAGGGUGUGCACACUUAUGCAACCACAUGAUCUCAGUUCUUUAUUUUUAUCUCACCUCCCUGAAAGAUUUCUGUUUGCUUUUCAAUUGCAUUGUACAGAUUAUAGGUCACAUUAAAGGUGGAAAAAGUUGUGAAAUUAUUUAUCUUGAUCCUGUAUCCUGUAUGUGUUCACCAGAUAUAAUACACUUGAAUUUUUCAAAAACCAAACACAAGGAGACGUGAACAGUUAGAAGUUAGAAGAAAAUUAUCAAAGCUUGUUAUACCCGACAGCGUAUAAGAAAAUUGACACAUCGCAAAUUUAUUGUGAUGGCUGCUUGUGCAUCUGAUGUACGCAGACCUUCUGGGGUCACACUAUCAAGCCCAUGAAUUUUCUGCUUUGAAUUGCCAAAUAUUCACAUUUUUUAAUGCAACUUAAUGUCUUGUGCUUUUUGACUGAAAUCUUAUGAUUGUGUUGAGAAACAUUUUUAAUUCAGAUUUAAAAAUGAAUGGAAAAAGGUUUAUAUAUAUAUAUAUUUUUUUCAAUUUAUGGAAACAGAAGCUUUGUACUUUCCUUUCAUGCAUUGAUACUUGACAUAUAAUCAGGAAAAAAAAAAUUGGAGCCCAAAAGCGCACUUAAAUUUUUAGGACAUUCUUUACAGAGUAAUUGCAUUUCAGGUUGCCUGGUUUGAGAACAAGGCAUGUAACAUCUUAUAAGUUAUCAUGUUUCACCCUUUCCCCUGACUUAAAGGUAGGGUAGGUAGUGAUGUUCAGAGACACUUUUUGUCAUAGUGGAUGAAAUAGUUCUUCCACUCUGAGAGCAGUCAAUUCAUUAUGUAUUCAGAAAGAGAAAGGAAGAGAAUCCGAGAUCUGUGGCAGCCGCAAUACUGUAAAAACUUUGACCAAUCAUUGCAUUCGAUCCGAAUGUAAAGAACCAAUCAGAUGCCUUCAAGUCUUGCCCCGCGCCCGCGCCCGCCCAGCUCCCCUCAGCUUGGAAAGAUUACAGAUAAAUAACUACUGCAGAUAUUUUAGACAGAGUACUGUCUUCAUACCACACUCUCCUUCUCCUCAUUUUAGGUACCGCAAGCUGUAUAACAGAAAGUCCAGAGCAACGAGUUUGUUCACCAGAAAGGCCCCACAAGAUGUACAUCUGACCAAGAGGACUUAUUUAUGUUAUAUUUUAUCUUAUGUGUCAUCUUGUAUGCACCAUUACUACUGCUGACUCUGUUGUGACAAAAGUUGUUCAAGUCUUUGCUGAUGUUAUUGUCAAUGAUAAUUAUAAUUUACUAGUCUGCUAGUAAAUUGCCUAGGGAGUCGGAACGAGUGUCUGUUUGUGGUUGGGGCCUGCUGGAGCAGCAAGGGAGGGGAGAGGAGGAGCUGAGGGGAGAACUGGUGGGGAGGGGUAGUGUUUACAUUCAAAAUAACUCCCCAAUACUGUCACUUCUGAGACCCUGUCUACCCUAACUUUAAGGUGAAAACAAAGAGGGUUAGCAUUUCAUCAUUACUGACUACAGGUUAUAAGUUUGAGAAAAUGCAUCUCUGGCAAAAACAACAUUUAUGGGAAAGAUAAUAGGCUCAAACUCUAUGUGUCUCUAUGAAUGAACUGUAAAACAACCUUUCAGAAAACUACAGAGUAUAAAAACAGCCUUCUGGCGCAUCUCAGUCACAGACGCGUACCUCAAGGCCACCUGCCUGCAGAUCAAACCAGCUGCACAGCAGUAAAGGUGGGAUAAUCACAUAUCUCCUCUCAUACAUUGACCUGGAAGAUGAUUCUCGUGUUACUUGCCCAUAUAUUAUCCUUCUCUUUGUCUUUCCUUUUCCACAUGAAUUGGCUAAUCAUCUUGGUGCUCAGCUUUAAAUUGACCAUCAUCAUCAUGUGAAAUGAGUCAUGAUGGUCCUCCUAACAGUCCACUGCAUAACCAGCCAUCACACUCUGUUGUGUCGGAUUGUAUUGAACAACAAUUAUGGGCUGAAAUUGCUUCUUGAUUGCUAUGAAAUUAGUAUGACCUGCACAGGCAAAUAUGUAAACAAACAACAGAUGAAUUAGAAGGUGAUAAAUGCGUCACUUAUCUGUCAGUUUUAAGCAUUUGGUUGUGUUUGAUUUUGUUUUGAAAACCCAGUCAUUCCUUAAUCCCUCUGUUGCCACAAAACCUGGUACCAUGGGAAGCAUAUGCCACAAUAAACUUAUUCAGACCCCACAGAAGCACCAUCUGCUGAGCCUGUUAGGGUAUUGUUUUUUUUUUUUUUUCUUAUUUUCCCUGGGACUAUUAAUGCUCGUCUCAAUGUCACCUCACAUCUCUGUUCACCUGGCCUUACAGUUUUCUCUUUCCACAGUCGCUGUAUUUACCUAUGUGGACUCGUUAAAUGAGGCCACACAUUACUCUUAUUACACUUUUUUUGGUACCACAUAUUCCGCAGAACUGUCCCCUUACAGAAUAAAAUACAUGCAAAGGAAACUGGGCUUGUAAAUGGGCAGUUUGUCUAUUGCUUUCUUACAUUUAGGUUAAAAGUGGGUAAAAACGCAGCAAAAAUUUAAAGAGGAGACCUGCAGAACUGGAGAAGCCUUUUGGAAGAGAGGUAAGACAUCCUCAAAAAACUCCAGACGACCAUGACCUGAAUGAAUGAGAACCUACACAGCCGUUUGAAGAGGGGGUAGGAUGCACUUCUUUUCGACUCUAUACUUCCUCUCUGACUCCUCUUCACUAAAUAAUAAUAAAAAUAAUAAUUUGUAUUUAUAACGUGCUUUUACAAGUGCUCAGAAACGCUUUAUAAGGAACACAAUUUAAAUACAGAAAAAUUUGGAGUAAUACACCAACAAUGUAAAAGGUUAAAAAGGACAUAACAUGAAAAGAGAAUAAAAGAACAGUUUACAGGUUAAAAGCCCAUUUUAAAAGGUGUGUUUUAAGGAGUGAUUUAAAAGUAUGGGGGUCUGUACAGUCUUGGAUGGGUUUGGGGAGUGAGUUCAAGAGGUUGGGGGCAGCAACGGAGAGGGCUCUGUCCCCUCAAGUUUGGUGCUUGGUCCGAGGGGGUAGGGCAAGAAGAGUUCCCUCUGAGGAUCAGAGGGCACGGGAGGGGUGUAGUGGUGGAGGUCUGAGGUAGGUCAGGGCCAGGUUGUUGAGUGAGUUGUGGGUGAGCAGGAGGAUUUUGAAUUGUAAGUGGUGUGAGAUGGGGAGCCAGGGCAGGGGUGAUGUGUUCUCGGGAGUUGGUGAGGGUGAGCAGGCGGGCAACAGAGUUCUGAAUAUAUUGGAGUUUAUUGAGGACUGUUACAAUAAUCUAGUCUGGAUGUUAUGAAGGCAUGGAUCAAGGUAUAGACAAUAUCUUUAAUAUCUUUACAUGACUUUCAGAUUAACUUGGACUUGGACUGUAAAAUGAUACAGAAUUGACAGGACUGAAUGGGCUAUGCUAGGACAUAGUAUUAUACAGUAUGAUGUGAUCUUGUAUAUAAUACAAAGACAUAAGCCUCAUUGUCCUCUUUAAAAAAGAGUGGUGCAACCAUUUUCUACCGCUUAUUCCUGUUCCUGGGGACUUUUCCAGCAUCUUCGGACAAAAGCAGGGGACACCCUGGACAAGUCGCCAGUUCAUCACAGGGCUGACAUUAAGAGAUGAACAACCAUCCACGCUCACAUUCAAACCUACAGGCAAUUUGACAGUGGCCAAUCAACCUAACCCCACUUCUGCCUGUUUUUGGGAUGUGAGAGGAAACCGGAAUAAACCCACGCAGACACAGGGAGAACAUGCAAACUCCACAAAGAAACGCCCUGACCCAGAUUCGAACCCCUGACCUUCUUGCUGUGAGGCGAUUGUGCUAACCACUACAACACUGUGCCGCCCUAAAAGAGUAGUCUUGGAUUGAAAUGCUGCUAAGAUUUACUUUCAUUCACUCAAAUAAUUCAGAAGGCAGGAAGUAAUGAGAUAAUAAUGGCAGAAAGCAGAGGUGACCAUGUACUAUUUAAGUUUAAACCAGGUCAAAGCAAAGCUCUUCUUGACAUAAACCAUGUGUUUUAUGUGUAAGAUCUUGCAGGUUAAUCAAUCUAAAUUGCACCGCGCCAUUUCAUGACAAAUGUUAUCCCGAGACGUUUAAAAAAAAACAAUACCUGUUACCUGCCGUCAGCAGAGGCAGUUGUUUAUUGCUCCCAAGUGUUCCUGUAGGUUGUAUUAGCUGGUGGGAAUAAAUGACCUCUGUGGUUGUUUGGCUUGGAGGACUUGUUGGAUAAAUGACAAGUAAUCCCAAAGCCCCCACAGCUGAUGAAGAGUCAUGGGACCUGCUGUUCUCACAACAUCUGCUCCAGCUGUUGUGGAAAGUGCUCCACUCAUUAUAAAUCCAUGAUAAAGCAGCAAUGGCAGAUACAUGCUGUUUAGAAAUGUCACACAAACCCUCCUCUGAGGUCAAGUUGAACAGUAGUGGUGUGUUGUUGCCAGCUGAUGAUACCUUCCUCAUGCUGUGACACCCACAUUUCAUGUUAGGCUGGAGAAAGACUGAACCAUUGUGAUCCUCCUAAAGGUAAAAGUGCGCUCCAUGGCCUGGCUUUUUCUUCCACUAAUGUUUGCAUGUAAAAUGAACUUGACUCAUGCAAGUGAAUAUUAUAAUAACGGCAUGAAAGUGUCUUUUUUUUAUUGUUUUGUUAACAUUUUCAAAAUCCAAAUCAAUGACUCACUUAAUCACUAAAAUAAAUAAAUGUGCAGUCUUUACAGAAGGUUCACAGGGCCUGUCUGCUCCCUGUGGCCUCUGCUGUUACUCUGAAGCCGAUGCUUCUGUAAUCCUGUGCCAUCCACCACCCCUGCCUGUCCUAGGUGGCCAUCAAGGCUCCCUUGACAGCACGUAGUGUCCGGCUACCAUUUUUUACUUUUUACUGAAAUUUGUGUUAUUAAAACCUCUUCAUUUGCUUAUAAAAUCAGAUAUUCCAAAUUACAGCUGCAUAAAUACAAAAAGAAAAAAAAAAGGAUAAGAAACUUAGGGCCUGAUCUACUAAGAUCCCAAAUAUCGAGCGCUAAGUUGCGUGUGCAUGUUGCGGGUGAUCUACUAUCAUUGCGUGCGCGAUUGAUAACAGGUGCAAAAGUGGUGCAGACUGCCCUCUUUUGACGAGGAUUUUGUGUGCGCUAUCUGCUGUCACCAUGGAAAGUUUGUGAGAGCAGAGUGGUUGUAGAUGAAAAAUGAAGUUUGAAGCCAUGGAGUUUCACCUAUCGUUUGGGGGAACUGCAGAAAAAGUUUAUUUGUAAAACACCAUUUAUACACAAGGCAAUUCAAAGUGCUUUACAGAUGUAAGAAAAUGUAUUUGAAAUGAAAAAAAAAAGAUUCAAAUAAUUUAAAAUCAAUAACACAAAGAGAUAAAUUUUGUGACUGCUCCAUGUUUGACCUAAUCAUUUAUCAAAACCGUCACUAGAAAAACACUUUUGCCUCUUUCUCCAUGCAAUGACUGCAGCCAUUUGUGCGAAACACUGUACUAGUUAGCACGUGCCUUUCAAACGUGCUACAUGAAGAUGCAAAAUAGCGACCACAACUGGUUUCCUGGUUUGGUAAAUCUCGUUGUGGAUGCUAAAUGAUUCCAUUUGCAUCUGCUCCUCCCAGAAUUUUGUGCGGUCUGAUGGUCUACAUACAUUCUGCAUAUUCAUGAAGGCAAAUAUGCUAAAUGGAUUGCGCAUGCUGCGUUCCUCAUUUGACAGACGCACGCAAACCUUUAGUAGCUCAUGCCCUUUGAGUUAAAAAAGAAAUAUACUCAAGUGUUAUUUUCUAUAUACAUGUGUAAAGCAUAUACAUAUAAAUAUAGUUUAUUGCACACUGAAGUUUCUGUUGUGGAGUCUGACAGCUGCAGGAAGGAAUAACCUGCGAUAACUCUCCAUCACACACUUUGACUGGAGCAUCCUGUCCUUUAAGGAGCUCCUCAGCGCAAUGAGUGUGUGUUAUAAUCUCUCUCUCUCUCGCUCUCUCUCUCAUUUUUUGCUUCUUGUGAUAUCCCUGUAAAUACACACAAAAGAUUUCAGUCUGUCCAAUCCAUAAGUAAGAUUGUUCAGUUCUACUCUUUUCUAAAUCAACACCAAAAUGGCUAUGGCGAGGUCACCAUUAAUUCAGUGAUGGUACAAUAGUCUUCUAAGUCAGCUGAUGAGACCUACAUAGCCACACUGACAUGUUAAAACAAACACACUGGCUCUCGCGCACUUAGGCACAGCAGAAGCUUGCGGCGCUGAAGCAGAUGAGCUUACAGUAAGUCAUAGUGACAGCUGCUUCUUUCUGUGAGUCACAAUAAAUAUACUAAUAUCUGCACUCUCAUUCUUACUGUCUCCUUCUCCUACCUCCAGUCGCCUCUCACUGUUUCUGAGAGAAAGCAGACUGAAAUUUACCGUCUCAUUUCUGGUCUGCCUGUUUCUCAUUCUCUGCUUUGGCUUGCUCGCCUUCUGUCCUUUUCUUUAUUUCUUUUAUAAAUCAGACUAACGAAAAAAAAAACCCAACAACUCUUUAGUACUGGCAUUGGCAGUAGAUUUAUGGUGAUGUACAUACAUGCAUGCUGCUAUUCACUGCUCAGCAGAAACCCUCAGGGCUGAAUCUAGUAGUAACCUCAUCAGUGAAGAAAAAGCUAUGGUUCCUUGUUUACAGCCACUACCAAAAGCAGUUUUGGUGACAGAUGGGAGCCCCUAGCUGUGCGCUCAGUGUCAACUUAGUUAAUUCCAGUCAGUGAACUUAAACUCGGCCAUGUUUGUGUUGUUGGUGCAUUUUAGAGGAUGUGUCAUCUAAGAACUAUGGCAAUGUUGUAUGUUUGUUAAAAAAAUAACUACAGACUGUUUUUGUGGAGGUCUUUUACAGCUGUUUGUCCCAGAAUAUGCCCUGCUCUGCAUGUGUUUUAAUAAGAAAAACACACAUUAACAUUAUGUUGUGUCUCUAUCCUGUUACCUGUAUCCUGACUCAAAAAACACCCGUUCAUCAAGAAUAACCUGCAGCUCAUUACAUACAGGCUGUUUAGAAACCGAUGAGAGAUUGUGAUCUGUUUCCAGGUAGCGCUCUGUUCAUAAACCUCAGUGAGUGUGUGUUUCCUUUGAAACACUUCUGUGGAGGGUGUUCAGGUAUCUCCUCACUUAUCGUCUUAGAGAUUUCCCUGCUCUCUCUUUUUUGUGUUCUCUCUCUUCCACGCAGCAGUCAGAGCUUUGCAAAACUCUUUCACAUGGUGACAGGGGCGCCGCCAGGAAUUUUGGGCCCCAUGACAAAAAAUCAAUUGGUCCUCAUUUGUCAUCACCUCUGGAGGACCUAACUGUCCCAUCAAACAUUUUACAUAACUGAAAUUAAAGGCUUUUAACUUGCUUCUUGUAGUUUAUUACUACUACUAGCACAAUAUUUACUGCUUGUGAUUUGUACAUCCAAGUCUACAGGAUGCAGUUUACUAUUUGACACAAUUGCAUAGUCAACUUCCGGCCAUGUUCAUAAUUAAAAUAAUAAGCCUGUAUCUAAAGAUGUCAUUUAACAGUCAUAAUCUAAAUGAAUGUAUCAAUAUUAAUAUCACUUGCAUGCAGGUUGAGGUAAGCUACUCACUUUUUCCAACUGUCCAGCAACCAGUACAGACAGUAGGCUGUUUCUAAUCUUUUAUUAUUUCAUAAUGAUCAUUAAGUGAGAAAUAAUUUGUGUUUAAAUUUAUGUAAUGAAUAAAUAUUUCUCUUUUUUUGAACUGUAAAAAAAAGCAAGAGAGACAGAGAGAUCCACAGACUCCCUGCAAUGAUGCUAACUGUCAUGUCAUAGAACACAGUGUUGCUCACCUUCUUCACUGGGAUAGGAGUGGGUGAGGGUAUGGGGAGACUUGGGUGCUGCUGAAUCAUCUGUUGUUUAGUCUGGUAAUAGGGACAAGGACAAUGAUUUGAUAUGAAUAUCUUGCUAAAUGUUUUCCUGCAAUGAUUACACGUUGAUGAAAUAGGCUAACGCUAGUCCGUAGCUUGCUAGCUUACUUCGCAAUAGACAGAAAUAGGCAACCUAUCUUUCUUAGUAAAGAGGUGUUAAGCUCUUUUGUCUCUCUCUCUUGCUUUCCUGUCUUUUCUUUUCUGAAAAAAAUAACUGGUUUUACCUUCUUGGGCAACAUUGUGGUCACUCAUUAUAGUAACUUAAAUCUCCUGUCCCCACUGCAAUAAAACACGUUUCUGAUGCGCUAAGGCAGCUACAGGACCAAACCAUUUCAUACAAUGGGGUGGUCGGUCAACAGGGAUGUUUAUUUUGCAGUCAAUUGGAAUUUUUAACAUUAACUGCCAAAAACAAGUAAAAACAAAGAGGUCAAUAAUUCUAAGAAUUUUAUAUUUAACAUAUAUAUAUAUGUGUGUGUGUGUGUGUGUGUGUGUGUGUGUGUGUGUAUGUGUGUACAGUUCCUAAUUAUACGGCACCGCUGCAUGGUGGAUCUGCAAAUACUUCUGUUUCAACUGAGGACCAUGUAACUUUAAUGGAAGAGCUUUGGGAUCUGGCCUUUUCUCUCCCCGCAGUAUAGUCCAGCUGCACAGGUACUGAUCCCACACAGGGCACCAAGGUCAAUAUUUCAAUAAAACAUUUUCCUGCUCUGCUCACAAGGGAGUUUAAGC